Molecule: transfer RNA, 69 nt
Filed under: Marmota monax (woodchuck)
Lineage: Eukaryota; Metazoa; Chordata; Mammalia; Rodentia; Sciuridae
Description: tRNA.Thr
Source: RNAcentral
GUUGUUGCUCAGUGGUUAGAGCGCUUGCCUAGUAUGCGUGAGGCACUGGGUUCAUUCCCCAGUACCACA